AAGUAUCGUGGAGGCAUCGUUGGAGCGAUCAACCUAUUAUUUUUCAUCUUUUGAAAACCCUAGGCUAUUGGAAGUAGAAGAGAAAAAGAUCGUGGGCAGCCCGAAGCCUAGUUUGGACUUAGCUUGAGUUGGAUCAUAUUGGAGAGCGUUUGAGGUACAGACGCACAGCCUGGUGAUCCACCGGUUUAGGACACCCCCUUCUGCUAUUCGGAGUGCUCCUCUCAUUCCGGAGCUUAUAUUUUUGGUAUAUAUAUUUGUUAGUGCAUUUAUAUAUAUUCGUUCAUGGGUACGGCGGGGCCCUGUCCCGUCAUAUGAUUCUGUCGGUCUGUUUAGAGGUCUGUGGACAUGUUUGUGGGUUGGGGUCUUUUCUGUACGGAUGCGUGUAUAUGUUGUGUUUGGGCGAUCCCAUUCGCCGCGGCGGCCGGUCCGCAUAUGUUUAAAUGUUGCUUUGUUGGCCCCGUGUGGCCUUUGUUG
Molecule: long non-coding RNA, 474 nt
Organism: Lycium barbarum (goji berry)
Lineage: Eukaryota; Viridiplantae; Streptophyta; Magnoliopsida; Solanales; Solanaceae
Exons: 3
Source: RefSeq, a predicted model, not a curated record